GUCCCAGACUCCUACGGGAGGCAGCAGUCGGGAAUAUUGCGCAAUGGAGGAAACUCUGACGCAGGGACGCCGCGUGCAGGAAGAAGGUUUUCGGAUUGUAAACUGCUUUAGACAGGGAAGAAACAAGACAGUACCUGUAGAAUAAGCUCCGGCUAACUACGUGCCAGCAGCCGCGGUAAUACGUAGGGGGCAAGCGUUAUCCGGAUUUACUGGGUGUAAAGGGAGCGUAGACGGCAGCGCAAGUCUGAAGUGAAAUCCCAUGGCUUAACCAUGGAACUGCUUUGGAAACUGUGCAGCUGGAGUGCAGGAGAGGUAAGCGGAAUUCCUAGUGUAGCGGUGAAAUGCGUAGAUAUUAGGAGGAACACCAGUGGCGAAGGCGGCUUACUGGACUGUAACUGACGUUGAGGCUCGAAAGCGUGGGGAGCAAACAGGAUUAGAUACCCUCGUAA
RNAcentral lists this ribosomal RNA (449 nucleotides) under uncultured bacterium. Its description in RNAcentral is "bacterial SSU rRNA". It matches the Rfam family "Bacterial small subunit ribosomal RNA", at positions 328 to 793 of the family's 1533-position model. The record is from RNAcentral.